UGCACCUGAAAGUAGUCAAAUGCCAAAAUAAUUGACUUCUUCGAGUGCUAGUUCAAAGAUUUUCUUUUUAAACUAAUAAUUGCAAUUCUUAUUGAGACAGGCUGAAGAGACUUUCUUCCAAGGUAAAGAAAUGAAAAUUUGAGAUGGUUCUGAAGGUUCCCACUUCCUGCCUGGUGUUCGUGACUGGGUCAACCUCUGAAGGAGCAUCUUGGGUGCUGCCCUGCAAAGGGUGUUUUUUUUUCUGUUUUUAUCUGCAAAACACUUCCAGAACCACAGAGGAAGGAGCUGGUAUUUGAACAACACCCUUGUGUAAAAAUCACAGCAGGAUAUGGCUGUUUUUACUGUGCUUGCUUUGAUGUGUGUGUGUGGACCUGGUAUGGUAGUGACAAUGCAGUGCUUCUCUCUUCUUUGGGGUUUGCCUUUGGUUUUCUGAGUUGGGGCACUUGAGGUGGGCUUGGCUGGCCUGAAACAGCAGCGCACUCGAACCAUUCUGGUGUUUGAGUGUCUGACACCCAUCCCCUGUGGUGCUUGUUGGGGUGUACGGACAUGUGCACCCACAACAGAGCCGUGCUUACGUGGAUAUCGGUCUUGGACAGUUCCCAUUCCCUGACUGCCUGGAUACAGCUGUUUGCAGGGCCAUGGAAUACGGGAUCAGGGAAUUCUCUGUUUAAAAGUGUCUCUUCUCUGCUCUUCUUGCUCAGCCGUUUGACCCCAUGAGCAGCUCAGCUGCUUUGUUCCAGGUGCCAGAAGUGAUGGUGUUAGCAUCGUUCAACUCUGUCAGCAAAACAAAUGGAUGUGCAUCCAGACCUCAACAUUUCUGUGGCCUGUUUUGUGUGCACAUCCGAAGCCCAAUGUCUUGAUGACAGUAAUAUUUUAAUGGGAGAGGAACAAGGGGUAUCCUUGUCAGCUAGUGCACAGUCCAUCAAAUACAAAACUGCACAUCCAGGUUUGUUUCCCAUUCCCUGCCAAAAGGGAAUAGAGGUAGGGAAUCUGCACCUACUUGCUGCUUUGACUCAACAGCUGUAGAAACACUUCUGAUUAAAUGAGUGCAACUCUGUGUAGAGGCAAGUCUUCAAAGCCCUUAAACGAGAAAAUGGUGAAAACACUGGCGGUUUCCCAUUCUCCUGCACUGCUGUAUGACUUGUGUUCUGCUAUUUCUAUGUCAGAUCCCUCCUAUUUUCUCUAAACUCGAGGGAGCUCAGGUACCUGGUUAAAAAUACCUGCAGCAAUUAGAGACUGCAGUUAGACUUUGAGGUAAAUCUUGUUGGGAACAAGAGCGAACAAGUGAUUGCUGAACUCGUCAUGCCUCCAGAAUAUCCUUUCUUCAAAGGUGGCAUCUGCAGAGCCCUCGGAGGAAAACGUUUUGGGGUAUAAACAGGCAAAAUUACUUCUUGUAGCUGAAAUCCCAGCUUAUAAAAUAACAUGUUGCCAGGGCUGUGUUUUGUUGGCUGUAAAACUAAGUAAGAAUAAAUGAGUAGAGUGUGGUAAAUAAACUGCGAAG
Molecule: long non-coding RNA, 1501 nt
Filed under: Cyanistes caeruleus (blue tit)
Lineage: Eukaryota; Metazoa; Chordata; Aves; Passeriformes; Paridae
Description: lncRNA (ENSCCEG00000002157.1)
Source: RNAcentral